Molecule: ribosomal RNA, 433 nt
Filed under: uncultured bacterium
Lineage: Bacteria
Description: partial 16S ribosomal RNA
Rfam family: Bacterial small subunit ribosomal RNA
Source: RNAcentral
AACGAACGCUGGCGGCAUGCCUAACACAUGCGAGUCGAACGAGACCUUCGGGUCUAGUGGCGCACGGGUGCGUAACGCGUGGGAACCUGCCCUUAGGUUCGGAAUAACUCCCCGAAAGGGGUGCUAAUACCGGAUAAUGUCUUCGGACCAAAGAUUUAUCGCCUUUGGAUGGGCCCGCGUUGGAUUAGCUAGUUGGUAGGGUAAAAGCCUACCAAGGCGACGAUCCAUAGCUGGUCUGAGAGGAUGAUCAGCCACACUGGGACUGAGACACGGCCCAGACUCCUACGGGAGGCAGCAGUGGGGAAUAUUGGACAAUGGGCGAAAGCCUGAUCCAGCAAUGCCGCGUGAGUGAUGAAGGCCUUAGGGUUGUAAAGCUCUUUUACCCGGGAUGAUAAUGACAGUACCGGGAGAAUAAGUUCCGGCUAACUCCGUG